RNAcentral lists this ribosomal RNA (459 nucleotides) under uncultured bacterium. RNAcentral's name for it is "partial 16S ribosomal RNA". It matches the Rfam family "Bacterial small subunit ribosomal RNA", at positions 338 to 795 of the family's 1533-position model. The record is from RNAcentral.
CCUACGGGCGGCAGCAGUGAGGAAUAUUGGUCAAUGGUCGGGAGACUGAACCAGCCAAGCCGCGUGAGGGAGGAAGGUACAGAGUAUCGUAAACCUCUUUUGUCAGGGAACAAAAGCGGGGACGUGUCCCCGGAUGAGUGUACCUGAAGAAAAAGCAUCGGCUAACUCCGUGCCAGCAGCCGCGGUAAUACGGAGGAUGCGAGCGUUAUCCGGAUUUAUUGGGUUUAAAGGGGGCGCAGGCGGUCUGUUAAGUCAGCGGUAAAAGCCCGGGGCUCAACCCCGGCCCGCCGUUGAAACUGGCAGUCUCGAGUUGGAGAGAAGUAUGCGGAAUGCGCGGUGUAGCGGUGAAAUGCAUAGAUAUCGCGCAGAACUCCGAUUGCGAAGGCAGCAUGCCGGAUCCACACUGACGCUGAGGCACGAAAGCGUGGGUAUCGAACAGGAUUAGAUACCCUUGUAGUC